RNAcentral lists this ribosomal RNA (468 nucleotides) under uncultured bacterium. RNAcentral describes it as "partial 16S ribosomal RNA". It matches the Rfam family "Bacterial small subunit ribosomal RNA", at positions 28 to 507 of the family's 1533-position model. The record is from RNAcentral.
GACGAACGCUGGCGGCGUGCUUAACACAUGCCAGUCGAGCGGAAAGGCCCGGCGUUUAUUGGGUGCUCGAUUGGCGAACGGGGGAGUAACACGUGAGGAACCUGCCCUUGUCUGUGGGAGAACUUCAGGGGACUGGGGCUAUAACCGGAGAUAAGCUGCUGCUGCACGUGGGUGAUUGGUAAGUGUCGGUGGUGUGGGCUGGACUCGCUGGUUAUCAGUUGGUUUGUGAGGUAGUGGCUUACCAGGGCUUUGACGGGUAGGCGGCAUGGGAGGGUGACCGGCCACCUUGCGACUGAGAGACGCAGCAGACUGCUACGGGAGGCAGCAGUGGGGAAUAUUGCACAAUGGCGGGACGCCUGAUGAAGAAACCCCGCGUGCGGGAUGACGGCUUUCGGGGUGUAAACCGAUUUCGACUGUGCCGAAGCGUGAGUGACGGUAACGGGUCAAGAAGCACCGGCUAACUACGUG